GGAGCGGCGAAUGUCCUAUCAGGUAGUUGGCGGGGUAACGGCCCACCAAGCCGAAGACGGGUAGCGGGUGUGAGAGCACGGCCCGCCGCGUCGGGACUGAGCCACUGCCCGGACUCCUACGGGAGGCUGCAGUAACGAAUAUUCCGCAAUGGGCGAAAGCCUGACGGAGCAAUGCCGCGUGCAGGAUGAAGGCUUUCGCCGUGUAAACUGCUGUCAGGGAACAUGAUCGUUCCCAAAGGAAGGGCCGGCUAAUCCUGUGCCAGCAGCCGCGGUAAUACAGGAGGCCCGAGCGUUAGUCGGAAUCACUGGGCUUAAAGGGUGCGUAGGCGGACCAGUAAGUAUCUCGUGAAAUACCUCGGCUCAACCGAGGAACGGCGGGGUAAACUACUGGUCUGAGGGAGGUAGGGGUUGCUGGAACGCUCGGUGGAGCGGUGAAAUGCGUAGAGAUCGAGCGGAACGCCGAAGGUGAAGACAAGCAACUGGGCCUCUCCUGACGCUGAGGCACGAAAGCGUGGGGAGCAAACAGGAUUAGAUACCCUGGUAGUCCACGCCGUAAACGAUGCGCACUAGACCGAUUGAUCGGAGAGAAAUUGUUAAGUG
RNAcentral lists this ribosomal RNA (600 nucleotides) under uncultured Planctomycetales bacterium. Its description in RNAcentral is "bacterial SSU rRNA". It matches the Rfam family "Bacterial small subunit ribosomal RNA", at positions 223 to 866 of the family's 1533-position model. Lineage: Bacteria; Pseudomonadati; Planctomycetota; Planctomycetia; Planctomycetales. The record is from RNAcentral.